This 27-nucleotide non-coding RNA is filed under the name Bombyx mori (domestic silkworm). Lineage: Eukaryota; Metazoa; Arthropoda; Insecta; Lepidoptera; Bombycidae. The record is from RNAcentral.
AAGAAAGACAGGCUGUCAGAUUGAGGG